RNAcentral lists this long non-coding RNA (517 nucleotides) under Medicago truncatula (barrel medic). RNAcentral's name for it is "lncRNA gene12657". The record is from RNAcentral. Lineage: Eukaryota; Viridiplantae; Streptophyta; Magnoliopsida; Fabales; Fabaceae.
GGAUUGCGGCGUCACUAUCAGCUGAGAUCGCGCAAAGCGUUGAGAACAUUUAUUCGUAAGCCUCAAAACCUCAAUCAAAAUUCGUAAGCCUCUGAUUCGAGUAAAAGGUGAAAAUACCCUUUUGAAUCAUUUUUAGAACUUAAGAGAAUGAAAGAGAUUCAACAACAACGGCAUCAUAAGCUUCUGAUUCUAUACGCAACUCAAACUGGUAACGCAUUGGAUGCUGCUGAAACUCUUGCUCGUUAAGCCGAACGUAGAGCUUGCCCCAUCAAUCUCCUUUCUCUUCAUCAAUAUGAUCUUAAUCUGUUGUCACAGGAAGAAGAUGUGGUUUCUCACAUUGAGUUUGUGCUGCAACCUUAAAUAGCAAUUUUCUCAAUUCACAUGUUGUAAUUUUACUUGAUAAUUGAAGAUGCAAUCGAGCAAGCAGUGAUGGGCGACAAUGGGGAAGAUGAAGUGGUCGUAUCCAAUUUUAAUUCUGAAGUGAAGACAAUGGGGAAGAUGGAAGUGUCUCGUAUCC